UGAGCGGGCUGCAGUGCUGCGGGAGCGGGCGAUGCUCCGGGGGCUGGGUGCUGUGUGCUGAGUGCUGUGCCCCCCCGCCGCAUCCCGGGCUAUAAAUAGUGCAGGAAAGCAGUCGCGGUGCUGCCACGAGGCUUUGGCAGUCCCCAAAAGCCAUCGGCAGGGGGGAGCGUGACAGCGUGCGGGGCAGUGACCGCACUCCCAUCCCCAUUUUCCGGCGCGGAUUGAUCCCCUCGGCGGGCAGCGGCUGCAGGACACGGCGGAGCCCCACCACCUCCAGGUCUCAUCCCAGAACUCCCCCUGGAAAAGCAGGAUGCAUCUGCACUGACCAGCAGGGACAUUGCCACACCGUGCCUCCCCCCUCUGUUCUCUUGAGGCUUGGGUGAGAAUCCACUUUGCCUCAGACCCCGCAUUCUGGGGGAAAAGUCAUUAUUUUAUGAAGCUGAGAUCUCCCAACUGGGAUGAAAUCCACCCCGAAGCCCUGCAAGAGCCAUCAGCACCGCAGGUCGGGGGGGAAGCAGCUGCUUUGGGGAUUAUUAAUGAGCAGCGAAUGAUGGGAAAGGCGAGGAUCAAUCGGAACAAAGGAGUUCAAUGGCAGAAAGAAACACUCGCAGAGUAAUGGGAGUCCAUUUCUCCUGCCGACUGUCGGAAGCGCAUCCUGUUAAACAUCCAUCAAUUAUCCCAGCUUGAAAAUGCAUUAAAGUAAUGAGGAAUUAUCCAUCAGA
This is a long non-coding RNA of Lagopus leucura (white-tailed ptarmigan), 722 nucleotides long. RefSeq lists it as uncharacterized. Lineage: Eukaryota; Metazoa; Chordata; Aves; Galliformes; Phasianidae. The record is from RefSeq and is a predicted model, not a curated record. The transcript has 2 exons.